This 70-nucleotide transfer RNA is filed under the name Cavia porcellus (domestic guinea pig). It matches the Rfam family "tRNA". From Rfam's summary of the family: Transfer RNA (tRNA) molecules are approximately 80 nucleotides in length. Their secondary structure includes four short double-helical elements and three loops (D, anti-codon, and T loops). Further hydrogen bonds mediate the characteristic L-shaped molecular structure. tRNAs have two regions of fundamental functional importance: the anti-codon, which is responsible for specific mRNA codon recognition, and the 3' end, to which the tRNAs corresponding amino acid is attached (by aminoacyl-tRNA synthetases). tRNAs cope with the degeneracy of the genetic code in two manners: having more than one tRNA (with a specific anti-codon) for a particular amino acid; and 'wobble' base-pairing, i.e. permitting non-standard base-pairing at the 3rd anti-codon position. The record is from Rfam by way of RNAcentral. Lineage: Eukaryota; Metazoa; Chordata; Mammalia; Rodentia; Caviidae.
GGGGAUAAAGCUCAGCAGUGGAGUGCCUGCCUGGCAAGCACGAGGUCCUGAGUUCAAUUCCCGGUCCCCA